AUCUCCACAAUGGAGGUGGUGAUGCCCAGCACACGGAGCUGUGAUGAGGAUUUAAUGGGGAAUCCAGAGCGUUUAUGGAAGUGCCAGGAGGCCAAGAUUCUGCAUAGACUCGAAAGAAAACCCCAAAGAGGAACCUAAACCUUCACGCUGCCUGCACCGAUUGGACCGGAGUGCUCAGGCUCGCGCCAACAAGUGUUUCAAAGAAGAAGCCAGACAGUGAAGGGGGAAGUGAGGGAGAAGCUGGAAAACUCUCAGGCUGACCAAUCGUCAGCCCAUUCAUUCAUUCGUUCAUUCAUCCAUCCAUCCGUCCGUCCGUCCAUCCAUCCAUUCUUUCUUUCCUCUGUCCAUUCAGUGAGAAGGGCUGAAUAUCACCUGUGAGCCUGCCCCUGCUCCCAAGAACACCCUUUGGACACCUGUGGGCUCUGCAAGGUUGGUGUAACCCCUACAGAUGAGGAAACCAGAGACAGAGAAGUGAAGUAACUCACGCAGGUGACGGCAGAGGGCAGUCAGGACUUGAACCUGGAGAGCCUGGCUCUAAAGCCCGAGCUGGAAUCUCGAUAUUCUACACCUCGAUAAGUUUUUGGGAAAUGACUGACUAAACAGAUGAACGCGUUUGCCCGCCCCCCCCCACCCCGCCCCAGAGCCCCCUUAAAGCCUACAUGUGGCAGUUUGGGCCCAUUUCCUUGGCUUCCUUCCCGGAGGGGCACCCACUGCCAGUGUCUCUGCUGAAAUUUAGCAUCAUAUUCCAUGGCGAUUUUCCACCAGUGGAAAUCACAGGUGUUCUCUGGUAUCACAGCGGGGUCAGGGAUGACCUGAAAUAUUGUUCAUGCUCAUCACAACUGCAUGGCCCACCGCGGGGUCUUGUCACUCAGUGAGUUCUUGAAGAGGCACAGACAAAUGGAGUUCAACAAAUGGAAAACAACUGCCUUUAAUUAGCUCCGAGGACUACAAAGGGAACAACGUUAUAAUAGCAGCAACUCCAAGGAAGCAGCCACAGCUCUCGGCUCUCAGACCUGGGGCUGCCGCUCAUCAUCAGCUACAGCUAGGUUUGAUGGGAGUGCCCCCACUUCAGGGGACAGCAGGCCCCCUUCACUCCCCGACUCAGUCCCCAUCUGCAGCAGCACAGCCUUCCUCGGCCUCACCAGGGAAGAAGAACAGGCCCCGCUCUCAGACAAGCCUUCCCAGAAGCCUGAGGACUCAAACACCCAAAUGUGUCUGGGUCCCUGCCCCGAGCCGGCCGCCCAGGCACCAGCCCUGAAUCACUCGGUCAGCCAGCGGCAGGGCAGGCCAAUGGGCUGGAGGGUAGGCAGGCAGGCAGACCCACCUCUGCAUCUCUGCUGACUGCCUCGGCUGAGGAAAGGCAGCACCAGCCCCCAACCCUGAAGUUCUAGAUCUCAUGCAGCCUCUCUGUUCUGGAACCAUCCAGAGGCACUGCCCUUAUACAUGGUCCACCCCCAGGCUCAGACAAUGAGAAUUCCACAAGCAGAGGGGACUCUAUUUGGGGCACAGAGAGGUUAAGUAACUCCCCUCCUAAGGUCUCUCAGCAAGGAAGCCACUGAGCCAUGGGACUUGAGCUCAGGGACUCUUGAUCCCCAGUCUCAGGUGUCACAGCCCCAUCUGGGCUCCUGCUAGGGAGGAGGAAGGCAGCAGGGGGUGUCUGAGGCCAGGGUGCAUCAGCCCUAAAUGCCAGACAGAGGCAGGAGAAGUCUCCCCAUGAGUCCCAGCCCCAUUAGAGGCUCCAGGUCGGGGAUCCCAGACCCCCUAUCCUUGCUGGGAGACACAACCCAGAACUCUGCAUCCCUGCAGCCACGAAAAAAGGCAAAAGCUGCCCAGAAACACUUUCUCCUCUUCCGUGGCCAAAUCCACGAACUUUCUCGAGGUCUGUCCCCCUGCCCCGUGCGGGUCCAGCUUCAGUGCAGCCCAGCUCUGUGCAGUUUUCCACAAAAGCCUGUGGCUUCCUUCUCCUCCCUCUGCUUCUGAUACCCCAGGAGUUACACACAAAAUGUCGGCGGUGGUCUCCAGGAAGACCCCUGCAUCCCACAGCUCUCCCCAGAAGUUGCCAGCAGUGACCUCCUGAGCCCAGGUGGGGAGUCCCAGGCAGGACAGGGGCUGGGGCUGCAGGCCCUGGGGCCCCGUUAGUGAAGCAGGAAGCCGAGGGUCCCUGAGAGUUUCCCUUGGCCCCUCUGAGGGCUGCCCUUUGAGGUCUUGAGGUCUUGGAGUAUCCAUCGCCCCCACGGCUUACUGUCCCCACCAGCGGAGGAUGAAAGUGCCACAGCGAUGUUCCACGCCAAGAGACCACAGAGACCACCAACCCCUCUUCCCACCUCAGGCUUUCAGAGGCCAGCGGAUUUAGGCGGACAGGCUGUGCGCUUGAGGGCAGCCGGGGCGGUCAGUGGAGGGACGUGGUCCGGGGCCUGGCCACAGCUCCCCACCCAGGGCCCUGGGCAAUUGUUACUCACCGCGGAUGAAGGUCGGGGAGUAGGUCGGGAAGGAGUCGAAGAUGCUGUUCGAUGCCAUGCCCCGCUCUGAAGAAGGCGAGAAUUUUCAGCCCUUCAGGGGGUUGGGUUGGGAUUCACUUGGUUGGCUGUUGUUGUUUUUUUUUUUUCCUCUAGCUACUUUUGAAAAUAAAAGGGGGGGAUGUUGC
This is a long non-coding RNA of Pan troglodytes (chimpanzee), 2644 nucleotides long. RefSeq lists it as uncharacterized. The record is from RefSeq and is a predicted model, not a curated record. The transcript has 5 exons. Lineage: Eukaryota; Metazoa; Chordata; Mammalia; Primates; Hominidae.